UCGGAUUGGAGUCUGCAACCCGACUCCAUGAAGCUGGAUUCGCUAGUAAUCGCGCAUCAGCCACGGCGCGGUGAAUACGUUCCCGGGCCUUGUACACACCGCCCGUCAAGCCAUGGAAGCCGGGAGUGCCUGAAGUGCGUGACCGCAAGGAGCGUCCUAAGGCAAUACCGGUGACUGGGGCUAAGUCGUAACAAGGUAGC
Molecule: ribosomal RNA, 200 nt
Filed under: uncultured bacterium
Lineage: Bacteria
Description: partial 16S ribosomal RNA
Rfam family: Bacterial small subunit ribosomal RNA
Source: RNAcentral